UACGGGGGGGGCAAGCGUUGUUCGGAAUUACUGGGCGUAAAGGGCUCGUAGGCGGCCAACUAAGUCAGACGUGAAAUCCCUCGGCUUAACCGGGGAACUGCGUCUGAUACUGGAUGGCUUGAGUUCGGGAGAGGGAUGUGGAAUUCCAGGUGUAGCGGUGAAAUGCGUAGAUAUCUGGAGGAACACCGGUGGCGAAGGCGGCAUCCUGGACCGGUAUUGACGCUGAGGCGCGAAAGCUAGGGGAGCAAACGGG
This 253-nucleotide ribosomal RNA is filed under the name uncultured bacterium. RNAcentral's name for it is "partial 16S ribosomal RNA". It matches the Rfam family "Bacterial small subunit ribosomal RNA", at positions 524 to 776 of the family's 1533-position model. The record is from RNAcentral.